UUUUUUCUCCUGUUUAUUUCAAAAGUCUUUGUAAUAGCUUAAUCGAGACAAUCCAAACGUCACCUGGAAUUUGACAUCCUCCCAGAUGUACAGAAUUCAGACUCGGUUGUGUAUCACAGCAUUAAAACCACACAGGAAUGUUCCCCAAACACCAUCAGUGGGUUCUCCCGCAGUCUCAUUAACUACCAGCUCUACACAUCCUCCGCCAAUGCCUCUGCACCACUCUACAAUGCGGCUGCGCACCAGGCAUCUCUCUGCCUCCCGGGUCCGUAACCGUGCUUCCAUGGAUGAAAGGGUGCCAAGCCCAAAAUACCCAUUUUUGUUUGCAAACUGGAUAUAAUGUACCAGUAGAAAUGUGUUCUGUAUUUAAUUGGCUUUGUAUAUGGCUUUUAGUCCUCUUCAUUCAAAGAUGGUAUAGCGGAAAAAUCCUGAGCUGACAUCAAAAGUGGGACUGAUUUGUUAAAAGCCCUCACAAUUAUGGUAUGUGUUGGAGGCGAAGUUCCUGCCAACCCAGAAUUAAAGCGUUUUUAAAAAUGCCACUUGUUUAUAAAUAGAUUUCAAUCUUGAAAUGUAUUCCAGUUCAAUGUUUUGCUAGGAAGCAUCAUCUGAAAGAGGAAAAUCUCUGCUUCCUAAUCCAUGAUUUACAGGAACUUACAUUUCCUUAUUUCACUUCUUGGCUCGGUAAACAUAACCAAAAUUGUGCUGGAAAAAUACAUGCAGCUCCUUUUGACUUCUAGCAGGCAUUUAAAAGUCAUUACAUCUAUUUAAUUAGCCUAUGUACUACCUGCAAUUCAACUAAGUUACUCCAGAUUCAGGCAAGAACAGCAUUUGCUUCCUAGAACCUAUUGGCUCUUUUGGCUUAUUUAGGUAAUUUCUGUAUUGUUCAACUCUGAUGGAGUACAUUGAGUGGUGCCAGGCACUGGGAUUUGCCACAGCUGACUAGAUGACCUUUGAAGUUCCCUUCCAACCCAAACUAUUCUAUGAUUCUAAAUGUAAUUUUUUCUGAACAGCACUCAGCUGAAAUUCCUCUCGGUUGUUACAACAGUCCCUGGCUAAUACCCAUAUUCACUGGUGACAGUAAAGAGCUUGUGUAAGACUUGCUGCAUCCUCUGAUUUCGGUACCAGUGAUGAGAAAUGUAGAAACAGCUGCAGAAACUUGCUUGGGAAGUGCCAUUUUUGGUGCCACAGCUGUUCACAGGGCAACAUCCAGCACCCCAAACAUCCAGCUGAUGCUCUCCUGAACCCAAACUUCUCCCACUGCUGGAGAAGCAACUGGCUGCUAUGGAUAGAGGCAGCUCUGCUCACAGCUUUUGCAUGUGAGAUCAUUAAUUCCUUGUUUAAGAUUAUUUUGCUUUCCUGAUAUGCUGAUAUUGGGUGGGUUUUUUUGGUUUUGUUUGCUUUUUUUAUGUGAAAAACCAUGACCACUUGAAGGUCAGCUGUCAAAUAGACUGAAUGAUCAGCACAGGAAAAUUGAAACCCGUGACAUCUUGUGUGUAGGCUGUGAAUAAUGGGCAACACCAUUUCGAUCAUUAAAAUAGAAAAUGAUCUCUAUAUUUUCUGAUGGUUUUAGCCCAUUGAGAAGGCAGGGAUAUGACCGCAUUGCUGAUGACUUGCACCACUUUCCUGGCAGUACAUUCCCUGGCUGCAGACCAGGGACUGGCGGUGGGAUGGAUCCCACACCUGGGGUAGCUUGGUCGAAGGAGGCAGAUGCAGGUUGCCAGAACAUUCAGCUACCUUUCAAAACCCACAGACACCCCGAGGCAGGACCAUUUGCUGAUGGGGACUGGACCAGAAUUCAUGGUCUCUGGACAAUGGGCGCGCUUAAACUUGGGGAUGGAGGCAACGCCAUUCCUCAGUGCUACUCAGACCAAGGCAUGCCCUCAAAAUACAUUUUGCUUUCAUACAGAUGAAGAUAAUAUAAGCCUUGACUAUCCCAGUGCUGUCAGAAACCAAGGCCUUCCCUUGAGAGCAUUAGAAAUGAACCCUAUGGUAAUUUUGUGGCACAACCCAGAGCUUUGGGGCUCAAUUACAUAUUUUAGCACUUUACUGUCUGGUCAGAGCACCACUUCUUCUGUUGCUUCACUGUACUUGCAGGAUGGCAAGACAAUUUCCCCCUUUUUUGCUGAUAAAGAUCUCUUACCAAAUAUAACCAGACUUGGCAAUUGAUUCUUCUUGUAAUAUUUAUAUACGCUGUCAUCAUACAGAAAAGCCUAAACAAAUCUCCUUAUCCAUUUCAUGAGGCAAGUAGGAGCAAAACAUUACUGCUUUGCCAUUGCAAAGGCUGAAUGUAGAAUGAGUCGAUAACUGCACCUGGGUCCCAAAUGCUCCAGUUUUGGGAACAAACUGGGGUUCAAAAGUGGCCAGAAACAGUCUGGCACAGGCGACAGCACUUCCCUGUGCUUCUCAAAGAGGCUCAAUAUGAUGUCAGUCUGCUUUAUUUAGCUUUCUCUCGCCUUUCUCUAUUCUUUUUAAAACAAACUAGAUUAAAUGGGCAAAUAAAGUAGGAAGGUCUUUUUACAUAAAAUUGGAUCUUUUGCAUCUUUCACUGAGUUCAUGUCAAGGAUUUCUGUUGGUAGGAAAACUACUCAGUCUGCUAAUUCCAAAUAUGAUAUGUAAUUGAGACUUGUAAUUGAGAUUUUACAAAUCAAUAUUCUGAAAAGUGUCUAAUUUUACUGUGUCUGGGAACAUUUGCUGGGUAAUUUGCUGGUGUUAGUACUUCUGCCAUUCUGCAAAAUGGGAAUGUGAUACCAACCAGAAACCAGCACAGAACUGGUCAUUCCUUUUAUAAUUCAUGCUUAGUGAAAUACAGAAGUAAGCAAAUACUAAAACCAGUGGAAUUAACUGCAGAAGUAAAACUCUUUAUGUACGUAAUAGGAGAUAAUAUUGCCAACUCAAAAGGUAUCUACCAAGCUGUGUCCCUUUAAAAACAAAUGAAAUAAAAUAAAUAGGAAUACUUGUGAGCAGAUAUAUUGAAAUUCACGAAUUUAAGUGUUUUGAAUUGGCUUGAAAUUUGAAAUGAGUAUUUUUGCAGAGAGUAUACAACAAGGUAUAUGCUACUGAGCUAAAAAUGUGUGUGUCUGUAUCUGUAGAAUCUGUACCAUUUUUUGUUUUUCUAAAUAAACAAUGAACACACACACACAGAACAUAAACCUGGUUUUGAGAUGCUGUGCUUUCAGAUACUGAGGUUUUACAAGAAGACUGGAACUGAAUUCUUGCACUGUACAGCUCAUGGAUGUUACUGUAAGCAAAAAAUUUCUGGACAUAAUUUCACUUGCAAGGAAUAAAACUGAUUCACUGAUGCAAAAAUUAGGAAAUUACAGCCACCGAGAAAAUGCUUGGUGUUUGAGUUGCACAUUGUCAGAAAUACCAGUUAAUUUUUUUCACACUGUUUAUUGUAUAUUAUUAUAAAAGUAUUAAUUUUGCAUUGACUCACUGGCUUCAAGAAGUACUCUUACAGUCUGCGAAGUACAAAGGGAUUAUGGGAACAUCUCUGUAUUUCUUAGAUAGUCUGAUAAGCAUCACCUGCUGGAGGGCCUAAUCCUGAAAACACCUGGGAUGAUGAUGUUACCCGACUUCAAAUCCUCGUGCUACCUACAUCCUCGUGCUGAGCCCAGGCUUGGGAGCUGGCUGGGACACACCUGGGGGUGACAUGGCCCUGGGACUGGGGGCCUGGAGGCAUGGGAAGCUCUACCUAUGAUAUACCCAAAGUGUAUCAGUGUGUCUGCUUUGCUAGUAGGAAGCUGAGUGAUUGUCUUCCCAAAAUCAGCCUUUGACAGCAUCUGCCUCCUGAAUGAAGUGCAGAUGGUGGGUGUAAGCAUGUGGUCCCUCUCCUUUCUCCCUCUGUCUCACAAAGUACUUCUCCCCAUGUUCUGGAUGAGGUAGCCAAGCCUGUGGCACAACAUGAGCUACGUGGGUCUGUGACAGUGUAUCACCAUUCUGUGAUGGGCCACAAUGCACGUGUAUGUGGAGAGCAAAGCAAGUCUUUGGAUUUCUGCUGGAUUUGCUGGAAAACACUUCUGAGCUGCUCCCUUUCCUCGUGCUUUUCAUUCCUUGGGAACAGGACCCUUUCUGUACCUUAACGAAAGCUUUUUUUUCCCUCUCAUGCUAGAUUGCCAGACUAUCGGGCACUCUGUAUAGAAUGUACCCAUACCUGCUGUCUCCUUCCUUUCCC
Strigops habroptila (Kakapo) is the source of this 4171-nucleotide long non-coding RNA. The record is from Ensembl. NCBI's taxonomy places the organism in Eukaryota, Metazoa, Chordata, Aves, Psittaciformes, Psittacidae.